Molecule: ribosomal RNA, 253 nt
Filed under: uncultured bacterium
Lineage: Bacteria
Description: partial 16S ribosomal RNA
Rfam family: Bacterial small subunit ribosomal RNA
Source: RNAcentral
UACGGGGGGUGCAAGCGUUACUCGGAAUCAUUGGGCGUAAAGGGCGCGUAGGCGGCCCGGUAAGUCAGGUGUGAAAGCCCGGGGCUCAACCCCGGAAGUGCAUUUGAUACUGCCAGGCUUGAGUAUGGGAGAGGGAAGUGGAAUUCCUGGUGUAGAGGUGAAAUUCGUAGAUAUCAGGAGGAACACCGGUGGCGAAGGCGACUUCCUGGACCAAUACUGACGCUGAGGCGCGAAGGCGUGGGGAGCAAACAGG